Molecule: ribosomal RNA, 120 nt
Organism: Leptopilina heterotoma
Lineage: Eukaryota; Metazoa; Arthropoda; Insecta; Hymenoptera; Figitidae
Source: RefSeq, a predicted model, not a curated record
GUUAACGCUCAUAUCACGGAGUAACACACUGGUUCUCGUUCGAUCACCAAAGUUAAGCUCCGUUGAGCGCGGUUAGUACUUGGAUGGGUGACCGCUUGGGAAUACCGUGUAGUGUUAGCU